CCUACGGGAGGCUGCAGUGAGGAAUAUUGGUCAAUGGACGAGAGUCUGAACCAGCCAAGUAGCGUGAAGGAUGACUGCCCUAUGGGUUGUAAACUUCUUUUAUAAAGGAAUAAAACGAGGCACGUGUGCCUUUCUGCAUGUACUUUAUGAUUAAGGAUCGGCUAACUCCGUCCCAGCAGCCGCGGUAAUACGGAGGAUCCGGGCGUUACCCGGUUUUAUUGGGUUUAAGGGGAGCGUAGAUGGGUUGUUAGGUCAGUUGUAAAAGUUCGCGGCUCAACGGGUGAAUUGCAAUUGAUACUGGCAGUCUUGAGUACAGUUGAGGUAGGCGGAAUGCGUGGUGUAGCGGUGAAAUGCUUAGAUAUCACGAAGAACCCCGAUUGCGAAGGCAGCUUACUAAACUGUGACUGACAUUGAUGCACGAAAGUGUGGGUAUCAAACAGGAUUAGAUACCCGAGUAGUC
RNAcentral lists this ribosomal RNA (460 nucleotides) under uncultured bacterium. RNAcentral's name for it is "partial 16S ribosomal RNA". It matches the Rfam family "Bacterial small subunit ribosomal RNA", at positions 338 to 795 of the family's 1533-position model. The record is from RNAcentral.